Molecule: non-coding RNA, 111 nt
Filed under: pig gut metagenome
Description: FMN riboswitch (RFN element)
Rfam family: FMN riboswitch aptamer (RFN element)
About the family: The RFN element is a highly conserved domain that is found frequently in the 5'-untranslated regions of prokaryotic mRNAs that encode for flavin mononucleotide (FMN) biosynthesis and transport proteins. This element is a metabolite-dependent riboswitch that directly binds FMN in the absence of proteins.
Source: RNAcentral
UUCUUCGGGGCAGGGGGCAGUUCCCGACCGGCGGUAUAGUCCGCGAGCGCCAUUGGGUGCUGAUUCGGUGAGAUUCCGGAACCGACAGUAUAGUCUGGAUGAGAGAAGAUA